Molecule: ribosomal RNA, 305 nt
Filed under: uncultured bacterium
Lineage: Bacteria
Description: bacterial SSU rRNA
Rfam family: Bacterial small subunit ribosomal RNA
Source: RNAcentral
GGCCUACGGGGCGCAGCAGUGGGGAAUAUUGCACAAUGGGCGAAAGCCUGAUGCAGCAACGCCGCGUGAAGGAAGAAGGGUUUCGGCUCGUAAACUUCUAUUAACAGGGACGAAAGAAAUGACGGUACCUGAAUAAGAAGCACCGGCUAAAUACGUGCCAGCAGCCGCGGUAAUACGUAUGGUGCAAGCGUUAUCCGGAUUUACUGGGUGUAAAGGGUGCGUAGACGGGAAGGCAAGUUAGUUGUGAAAUCCCUCGGCUUAACUGAGGAACUGCAACUAAAACUAUCUUUCUUGAGUGCUGGAGG